RNAcentral lists this long non-coding RNA (1589 nucleotides) under Gallus gallus (chicken). Its description in RNAcentral is "lncRNA (ENSGALG00010015844.1)". Lineage: Eukaryota; Metazoa; Chordata; Aves; Galliformes; Phasianidae. The record is from RNAcentral.
CCCUUCUGAAAGCGGCCGCAGAGCUGCCCCCCGCCCGGGACAAAGCGGGACGGAGACCCAAAAAGGCCGAGGGAAUGAUGUGAACGACUUCCAUCACGACUGUGGGGUGAAUUGAGAUGGACCCCCUGUCUGACACCUCUGUUCUGCUCUGUGCCUGUUGCUGUGCCAGCGUUCAACACCGCCUCCAGUCUGACCGGUUCCCAUUUCGCUGAGGCGUGAGGCUGUAACAUCUGUAACGCGGGGACUGUGGGCACCUUUCUUCUUUCUCAAAUUAAUGAAUGCUGAGCAGACAGAGCCCUUUUAUCACAGCUGUGCUCUUAUCAGACCAUCUCCUCUAUUCCUUCCUUCCCCAGCCAUUGUGGAAGCAGACAUCCUGCCCAAGGCAUCCAAACCCACAAUCUGCCGCUUCUUCUACCGAGCCUCUGGAUUUUUGCCAGCAGCCCCUUGAGAGGGUCCCAGAUGUGACUGCUGCUUCUGUGCUGCCCUGAACGUAUCCGGUGAAAACAAAGGGCCACACUCAGCACGGUUGCCGCUUCGGAGGCCAACACUUCCUCCUCUGUCAGGGCUGUACGGUGGGAGACAGUGGUGCUGAGGCACCCCAGGGAUGAGGCGCUUCCAUGGCACUGUGCUCAGAGAGGCUUUUGGACACCUCGGGCCCACCGCAGCGGGAGGAGAAGAGAGAGCCUACCAAUGCAUGGCAGGUGCAAAUGCUGCCACAAGGCUGAACACCUCCUUCCCUUCCAAGGUGCUCUGUGAAGCUGGCAGCCCGUGGCUUGGACAGCUGCAUUGGGAUGGAAUUGAUACAGAGGCCUGGAUUUUUGCAACAUUCUCCCUCAUGCAGGACACCUCUGGGAAACCACCCGCGCUGCAGGGAGGAUCCUGCCAGCACCACUGGCAAUGCCAGGGCAGCCAUCUGCUGCAGGUGACCGUCCUCCUCUGCCACUCCUCCCAGGCACUCAGAGCCUUGUUGGGCUGUCCUGACUCAGUGCUCAGGGCUGUGCGCAAAGGAAAUGUUCUCCUGAGGUUCCUUGCUGUGCUCAGAUUUGCUCCUGAAGCAGGAGAUGUAGUGAUCUCAACUUCAACACGGAUAAUUACAAUUGUAGUUCCUGCCCCUUCAGUGAUGCAGGUCUGUAUUCAACCUGACUGGGGUCUGUAACCUCUGCUAGCUGCAAGUGCUCUCAGCCACUGGGCCUGCGUGUUGUGUGAAGUGCUGUUUGUUUUUCCUUCUAUUCUUGCUAAUGUUACCUGCUGUGGAUGAUGCAAUCAGGCUGACAACCUGCUGUGGAUGAUGCAAUCAGGCUGACAACCUACUGUGGAUGAUGCAAUCAGGUUGACAAGCAGAGAUCAUGGAGAGGUUCUAAGUCCAGGAUGGAAUAAGGAGGGAAAACCUAAAACUACAACAAAAUCAAAUAGUGCACCCUAAAAACAGGGUUUCUGUGGCAGAAACUUGUUUGGAUGUGGAGCUCAGUCAGGGGAUAUGUGCAAGGGAGCACCACAGAUGGGCUAUGCAUGCUGGAGCCUCCAUGCUGGGGAACAUCCACUUGGCACCUUUCUCUGGGCUGUAGCCCUCUGUACUUCAGCCAUCUCAG